UUGGUGCCUUCGGGAACUCUGAGACAGGUGCUGCAUGGCUGUCGUCAGCUCGUGUUGUGAAAUGUUGGGUUAAGUCCCGCAACGAGCGCAACCCUUAUCCUUUGUUGCCAGCGGUCCGGCCGGGAACUCAAAGGAGACUGCCAGUGAUAAACUGGAGGAAGGUGGGGAUGACGUCAAGUCAUCAUGGCCCUUACGAGUAGGGCUACACACGUGCUACAAUGGCGCAUACAAAGAGAAGCGACCUCGCGAGAGCAAGCGGACCUCAUAAAGUGCGUCGUAGUCCGGAUUGGAGUCUGCAACUCGACUCCAUGAAGUCGGAAUCGCUAGUAAUCGUAGAUCAGAAUGCUACGGUGAAUACGUUCCCGGGCCUUGUACACACCGCCCGUCACACCAUGGGAGUGGGUUGCAAAAGAAGUAGGUAGCUUAACCUUCGGGAGGGCGCUUACCACUUUGUGAUUCAUGACUGGGGUGAAGUCGUAACAAGGUAACCGUAGGGGAACCUGCGGUUGGAUCACCUCCUUACCUUAAAGAA
Molecule: ribosomal RNA, 532 nt
Filed under: Enterobacter cloacae
Lineage: Bacteria; Pseudomonadati; Pseudomonadota; Gammaproteobacteria; Enterobacterales; Enterobacteriaceae
Also listed under: 4 other names
Description: bacterial SSU rRNA
Rfam family: Bacterial small subunit ribosomal RNA
Source: RNAcentral